Non-coding RNA from Bos taurus (domestic cattle), 73 nucleotides. NCBI's taxonomy places the organism in Eukaryota, Metazoa, Chordata, Mammalia, Artiodactyla, Bovidae. The record is from Rfam.
UCCCCAGUGGUCCAGUGGUUAGGACUCAGCUCUCUCACUGCCCAGGGCCCAGGUUCAUUUCCUGGUUGGGGAA